RNAcentral lists this ribosomal RNA (254 nucleotides) under uncultured bacterium. RNAcentral describes it as "partial 16S ribosomal RNA". It matches the Rfam family "Bacterial small subunit ribosomal RNA", at positions 524 to 776 of the family's 1533-position model. The record is from RNAcentral.
UACGUAGGGUGCAAGCGUUGUCCGGAAUUAUUGGGCGUAAAGAGCUCGUAGGUGGUUUGUUACGUCCGCUGUGAAAUCCUAGGGCUUAACCCUGGGCUUGCAGUGGAUACGGGCAGACUAGAGGUAGGUAGGGGAGAAUGGAAUUCCUGGUGUAGCGGUGAAAUGCGCAGAUAUCAGGAGGAACACCGGUGGCGAAGGCGGUUCUCUGGGCAUUACCUGACGCUGGAGGAGCGAAAGCGUGGGGAGCGAACAGG